Molecule: small RNA, 2938 nt
Filed under: Pongo abelii (Sumatran orangutan)
Lineage: Eukaryota; Metazoa; Chordata; Mammalia; Primates; Hominidae
Description: retained intron
Source: RNAcentral
GCCCCUGGAGCCUGUGAUUUGUCAGGGAAAUCUCAGCCACCUGCUCCCCUCAUGCAAAUGACCCAAGCCCCUGGCAGCUGCUCCUUAGAACUCCAAGUCUAAGCCCUGUCUUCCCUCACUGAGCUUUGCUGAGACUUAGGGCCGCCUGCUUUCUCUCUGACUCCUGCUUUCACAGCCUUGAGAGGGCAAAGGAGGGGGCCAGACCCCAGCCUGGGAGCAGGGUGCAGGGCUUCCCUCCACUUGAAAUCCGUUGCCCACCCACAACAGGGGCAGACCUGUCCAUCCUUCUCUGUGGGUCCCCUGUACCUUUCUCCCCUGACAGGAUCAGACCCAGAGGCAGCUGGUUGGGGUUUGUCGAGAAGAAGGAUUAUCCAGAUCAGUCCUUUCUAAUCUCAGCUCCUGCCUGUACCCUCCCAUACUCACCAAACCCUCUUCCUCACCACCCUGAGCCUAAGGAGCACAGUUUGAGGUACGGACAAUGGGGCCAUCUAUCACCCUUAUAUCCCGCCUCCUGGCCUGGUUGCUAAGUGGCGCUGACUGCCAAGAUCAUCACCAUGGAUGGGGGCCGGGACCAGGGGGGCCACUGGAGCUGUAGUUGCCUCUGCUCCUUUGCACCCCUCCCAAACCCCAACCCUUAAUCCUCACAGCUUUACUCUAAUCCUGUGGGGCCUGAUGCUCUUAUCUCUGCCUGCAGAGACUGACCAGGGAAGAACCCCUUCACCCCCUCCUCUCUCAGGGCUUGUGGUGGGGGCCGCUCCUCUCUAUGUCCCCACACUCCUGCCCCCAACCCUCCUCCAGGCUGAGCUCAAGUCUCUCUGGAAUCCGCACACCUCCCUCCCUCCCUGUCCUCUUCCACCCACCCCUACCAGCUGAUUUCAUUUGCCUGACAUCGUGGUUGGCUCUACCCUUCCCUGUCAGGCCCCCCCCAACCCCCGCCGGCCGGGGCCAGGCCAGGCCAGCUCCUCUGGCAGCAGAGCCUGGGCAGGUGACAGGCGGGCGCGGGCGUCGCAGCUGAGGGAGUAAGGAGGCUCCCAGGAACCGGAGCUGGAAACCCGGCUGAGGUCCAGCCAGAGCCCAAGAGCCAGAGCUACCCCUCGACCUGUCAGCCAUGGGGGAGAUGGAGCAACUGCGUCAGGAAGCGGAGCAGCUCAAGAAGCAGAUUGCAGUAACUCCAGAGCCCUCCCACUGGGGCCCCAGAAAACAGCUGGGGACAUGAGGCAGUGUGGCCCAGGGGGAGGGGGCUGGGUUUGCUCUUGAGUGACUGGAAGUGACCAGGGACUUUCUAAACUCGGCUUGCAUAUUUGAGACCCCCAAGCCCCAGAGCCCCAAGUCCAACCUGGCCUGAAGGCCCAUGCGCCCGCCUCGCCCUUGCUCCUCUGAUGUCUCCUUUCCCUGCAGGAUGCCAGGAAAGCCUGUGCUGACGUUACUCUGGCAGAGCUGGUGUCUGGCCUAGAGGUGGUGGGACGAAUCCAGAUGCGGACGCGGCGGACGUUAAGGGGGCACCUGGCCAAGAUCUACGCCAUGCACUGGGCCACUGAUUCUAAGCUGCUGGUAAGUGCCUCGCAAGAUGGGAAGCUGAUCGUGUGGGACAGCUACACCACCAACAAGGUGCACGCCAUCCCACUGCGCUCCUCCUGGGUCAUGACCUGUGCCUAUGCCCCAUCAGGGAACUUUGUGGCAUGUGGGGGGCUGGACAACAUGUGUUCCAUCUACAACCUCAAAUCCCGUGAGGGCAAUGUCAAGGUCAGCCGGGAGCUUUCUGCUCACACAGGUUAUCUCUCCUGCUGCCGCUUUCUGGAUGACAACAAUAUUGUGACCAGCUCAGGGGACACCACGUGGUGAGGCUGAAUGUUGCUGGUGCUGGGGCUUGGGAGUGGGUCUGGCCUUUCUCUAACAGUCUCCCUCCCUUUUGGCAGUGCCUUGUGGGACAUUGAGACUGGGCAGCAGAAGACUGUGUUCGUGGGACACACGGGUGACUGCAUGAGCCUGGCUGUGUCUCCUGACUUCAAUCUCUUCAUUUCGGGGGCCUGUGAUGCCAGCGCCAAGCUCUGGGAUGUGCGAGAGGGGACCUGCCGUCAGACUUUCACUGGCCACGAGUCUGACAUCAAUGCCAUCUGUUUCUUCCCCAGUGGAGAGGCCAUCUGCACGGGCUCGGAUGAUGCUUCCUGCCGCUUGUUUGACCUGCGGGCAGACCAGGAGCUGAUCUGCUUCUCCCACGAGAGCAUCAUCUGCGGCAUCACGUCCGUGGCCUUCUCCCUCAGUGGCCGCCUGCUAUUCGCUGGCUACGACGACUUCAACUGCAAUGUCUGGGACUCCAUGAAGUCUGAGCGUGUGGGCAUCCUCUCUGGCCACGAUAACAGGGUCAGCUGCCUGGGAGUCACAGCUGAUGGGAUGGCUGUGGCCACAGGUUCCUGGGACAGCUUCCUCAAAAUCUGGAACUGAGGAGGCUGGAGAAAGGGAAGUGGAAGGCAAUGAAGACACUCAGCAGCCCCCUCCCUGACCCCAUGUCAUUCAGGUGUUCUCUUCUAUAUUCCAGGUGCCAUUCCCACUAAGCUUUCUCCUUUGAGGGCAGUGGGGAGCAUGGGGACUGUGCCUUUGGGAGGCAGCAUCAGGGACACGGGGGCAAAGAACUGCCCCAUCUCCUCCCAUGGCGUUCCCUCCCCACAGUCCUCACAGCCUCUCCCUUAAUGAGCAAGGACAACCGGCCCCUCCCCAGCCCUUUGCAGGCCCAGCAGACUUCAGUCUGAGGCCCCAGGCCCUAGGAUUCCUCACCCAGAGCCACUCCCUUUGUCCAGACCUGGGUGGUAUAGGGCGUUUGGCCCUGGGACUAUGGCUCUGGCACCACUAGGGUCCUGGCCCUCUUCUUAUUCAUGCUUUCUCCUUUUUCUACCUUUUCUUCUCUCCUAAGACACCUGCAAUAAAGUGUAGCACCCUGGUA